AGCGAACGCUGGCGGCAGGCUUAACACAUGCAAGUCGAACGCAUCACUUCGGUGGUGAGUGGCAGACGGGUGAGUAACACGUGGGAACGUACCUUCGAUCUGGGAUAACUUCGGGAAACUGGAGCUAAUACCGGAUACGCCCUUUUGGGGAAAGGUUUACUGUCGAAGGAUCGGCCCGCGUCUGAUUAGCUAGUUGGUGGGGUAACGGCCUACCAAGGCGACGAUCAGUAGCUGGUCUGAGAGGAUGAUCAGCCACACUGGGACUGAGACACGGCCCAGACUCCUACGGGAGGCAGCAGUGGGGAAUAUUGGACAAUGGGCGCAAGCCUGAUCCAGCCAUGCCGCGUGAGUGAUGAAGGCCUUAGGGUUGUAAAGCUCUUUUGUCCGGGACGAUAAUGACGGUACCGGAAGAAUAAGCCCCGGCUAACUUCGUG
RNAcentral lists this ribosomal RNA (434 nucleotides) under uncultured bacterium. RNAcentral describes it as "partial 16S ribosomal RNA". It matches the Rfam family "Bacterial small subunit ribosomal RNA", at positions 29 to 507 of the family's 1533-position model. The record is from RNAcentral.